This 788-nucleotide long non-coding RNA is filed under the name Rattus norvegicus (Norway rat). RNAcentral describes it as "long non-coding RNA NONRATT025207". The record is from RNAcentral. Lineage: Eukaryota; Metazoa; Chordata; Mammalia; Rodentia; Muridae.
AUUCAUGUAAAACCCGAGGGGCCAGCACACAGGCCCUGAGUCUAAUGUGAGAGGUGACCAUGAGACUAAGGCUUGCAGUGUGUUUUUAUUGAAAUUGGACUUAAAAGUUGGAACUGCGGCCCCGGUCCUGCCUAUUUUCGGACCACGAGGAAAAUGCGUUGGUCUCAGAGGGACCGACUUAUCUGUGGUCCUUGACUCCCACAACAGGUUCUUCCAGAUGCUUCCAGCUCUCAGUAGAUAGCCAUCAGCAGUCCACACCGGCAGGCGCUGGCUCCCUCCUCCCUCUGCUGGACUUUGAGCUGCACGCCAAGAGAAAGAUAGAUGCUCCUGAUACGUGGCCGCUGCUUAGAGGUGCUUUCUUUUAACAUUUAACCGGCAUACAGCUGAAGGAAAGAUGGUCUCCUGAUGGAUGCUGUCAGCAAUGCUUAAGAGGAAAAGCCUUUCUAGUACCUCUCCCCUCGGAUGCCGUGAAGGGUUCGGGCAUCACCGGACAGGGUCCCAGCCCAGGCUCUAAGUCUGAUCCAAGCCGAGGUGCCUGCGCCAUGCUAUGCGCUCCAUCACCACGAGAGGGAGCGACGAGCGGGCUCUUCCCAAUGCUGUCCUCCACAGCCUUGCCUAGGUAAGAAGGUCCCUCGGCAUCAAAGUGGGAGGUCCGCAUCAAACUAUGAGAAGGGCAAAUUGGAAAGACGGUCAAUGGUGCGGUGGGUAGGGGACAAGUGAGGUCAUGGAAGGAUGUAUAUGGUUAUAUAUAUAUCUCACAUAAUAAAAGCCAUUAUUUUGUAUAAUUG